Molecule: ribosomal RNA, 491 nt
Filed under: uncultured bacterium
Lineage: Bacteria
Description: partial 16S ribosomal RNA
Rfam family: Bacterial small subunit ribosomal RNA
Source: RNAcentral
GUGAACGCUGGCGGUAGGCCUAACACAUGCAAGUCGAACGGCAGCACAGUAAGAGCUUGCUCUUACGGGUGGCGAGUGGCGGACGGGUGAGGAAUACAUCGGAAUCUACUUUUUCGUGGGGGAUAACGUAGGGAAACUUACGCUAAUACCGCAUACGACCUACGGGUGAAAGCAGGGGAUCUUCGGACCUUGCGCGAUUGAAUGAGCCGAUGUCGGAUUAGCUAGUUGGCGGGGUAAAGGCCCACCAAGGCGACGAUCCGUAGCUGGUCUGAGAGGAUGAUCAGCCACACUGGAACUGAGACACGGUCCAGACUCCUACGGGAGACAGCAGUGGGGAAUAUUGGACAAUGGGCGCAAGCCUGAUCCAGCCAUACCGCGUGGGUGAAGAAGGCCUUCGGGUUGUAAAGCCCUUUUGUUGGGAAAGAAAAGCAGCAGGUUAAUACCCCGCUGUUCUGACGGUACCCAAAGAAUAAGCACCGGCUAACUUCGUG